MicroRNA precursor from Anolis carolinensis (green anole), 77 nucleotides. Lineage: Eukaryota; Metazoa; Chordata; Lepidosauria; Squamata; Anolidae. The record is from Ensembl.
UUUGAUUGGAGAGAGAACUAGAUCCACAUCUGUCUCAACUAAAGACAGAUGUGGCCCUAGUUCUCUCUUUAAUCCUA